RNAcentral lists this unclassified non-coding RNA (359 nucleotides) under uncultured fungus. RNAcentral's name for it is "partial contains small subunit ribosomal RNA, internal transcribed spacer 1, and 5.8S ribosomal RNA". The stretch from base 1 to 73 matches the Rfam family "Eukaryotic small subunit ribosomal RNA", at positions 1759 to 1831 of the family's 1831-position model. The record is from RNAcentral. Lineage: Eukaryota; Fungi.
GCAAACUUGGUCAUUUAGAGGAAGUAAAAGUCGUAACAAGGUUUCCGUAGGUGAACCUGCGGAAGGAUCAUUAUUGAAUAAACUUGGUCAAGUUGUUGCUGGUCCUUUGGGACAUGUGCACGCUUGCCACCAAUUUUUAACCACCUGUGCACCAUUUGUAGACUGGAAACGUUUUCGAGAGCAACUCGGUUUGAGAACUGUUGUGCGAAAGCCAGCUGUUCUUGUGUUUUCUCAGUCUAUGUUUUCAUUAUGCUCCUUAACGUAUGUAAAAGAAUGUACUUGUGGGCCUUCGUGCCUCUAAACUAUAUACAACUUUCAACAACGGAUCUCUUGGCUCUCGCAUCGAUGAAGAACGCAGC